GAUGAACGCUGGCGGCGUGCCUAAUACAUGCAAGUCGAGCGAACAGAUGAGGAGCUUGCUCCUCUGACGUUAGCGGCGGACGGGUGAGUAACACGUGGAUAACCUACCUAUAAGACUGGGAUAACUUCGGGAAACCGGAGCUAAGACCGGAUAAUAUAUUGAACCGCAUGGUUCAAUAGUGAAAGACGGUUUUGCUGUCACUUAUAGAUGUAUCCGCGCCGCAUUAGCUAGUUGGUAAGGUAACGGCUUACCAAGGCAACGAUGCGUAGCCGACCUGAGAGGGUGAGCGGCCACACUGGAACUGAGACACGGUCCAGACUCCGACGGGAGGAAGCAGUAGGGAAUCUUGCGCAAUGGGCGAAAGCCUGACGGAGCAACGCCGCGUGAGUGAUGAAGGUCUUCGGAUCGUAAAACUCUGUUAUUAGGGAAGAACAAAUGUGUAAGUAAGUAUGCACGUCUUGACGGUACCUAAUCAGAAAGCCACGGCUAACUACGUG
This 497-nucleotide ribosomal RNA is filed under the name uncultured bacterium. Its description in RNAcentral is "partial 16S ribosomal RNA". It matches the Rfam family "Bacterial small subunit ribosomal RNA", at positions 28 to 507 of the family's 1533-position model. The record is from RNAcentral.